This 354-nucleotide transfer-messenger RNA is filed under the name Gammaproteobacteria bacterium. It matches the Rfam family "transfer-messenger RNA". Rfam says of the family: Bacterial tmRNA, also known as 10Sa RNA or SsrA, is named for its dual tRNA and mRNA-like properties. Its role is to liberate the mRNA from a stalled ribosome. The record is from RNAcentral. Lineage: Bacteria; Pseudomonadati; Pseudomonadota; Gammaproteobacteria.
GGGGGCGACCGGUUUUGACGUGGGUCGCGAAACCAUUGGAGCAUGCCGAGGUGGCAGACAUCCUCGUAAAUCCUGGCUGCAAACUUUUAGUUGCCAACGACGACAACUACGCUCUGGCGGCUUAAACCCGCCAGCCUCUCGUCCUGAAUCGCCUGUAGUUCGGGAGCCGGGAGUCAAAAAUGCAGGACCGCGCCGCCGCCCGCCCGUAGCGGCCGGCGUUAAACAGAAACGGGCUCGCCGCGCGCCACACCUGUCUGCCGAUGGGGGCGCGGCUAAAAUGAGCGCAGACUAAGCAUGUAGGGCCAAUGAGCGUAGGGCUGACGGACGCGGGUUCGAUUCCCGCCGCCUCCACCA